CAAUAGCGUAUAUUAAAGUUGUUGCGGUUAAAAAGCUCGUAGUUGGAUUUCUGCCGAGGACGACCGGUCCGCCCUCUGGGUGUGUAUCUGGUUUGGCCUGGGCAUCUUCUUGGAGAACGUAGCUGCACUUGACUGUGUGGUGCGGUAUCCAGGACUUUUACUUUGAGGAAAUUAGAGUGUUUCAAGCAGGCCUACGCCUUGAAUACAUUAGCAUGGAAUAAUAAGAUAGGACCUCGGUUCUAUUUUGUUGGUUUCUAGAGCUGAGGUAAUGAUUAAUAGGGAUAGUUGGGGGCAUUCGUAUUUAACUGUCGGAGGUGAAAUUCUUGGAUUUGUUAAAGACGGACUACUGCGAAAGCAUUUGCCAAGGAUGUUUUCAUUGA
RNAcentral lists this ribosomal RNA (380 nucleotides) under uncultured eukaryote. Its description in RNAcentral is "partial 18S ribosomal RNA". It matches the Rfam family "Eukaryotic small subunit ribosomal RNA", at positions 592 to 976 of the family's 1831-position model. The record is from RNAcentral.